Mus musculus (house mouse) is the source of this 557-nucleotide long non-coding RNA. RefSeq annotates it as predicted gene, 36678. The record is from RefSeq and is a predicted model, not a curated record. The transcript has 4 exons. NCBI's taxonomy places the organism in Eukaryota, Metazoa, Chordata, Mammalia, Rodentia, Muridae.
GUUACUUCUUUGUUACAGCUGUAAAUGGGGUGUCAUGAGGGUACACGUUAGAAUCCAAACAAUUCCCCAUAGAAUGUGAGAGGAAAUGGAUUCAAGGACCAUCGGCUUCAUUUAUUGGAAAGAAUUAAGUGUCUCUACGCAUUGCCACGCAUCUCGCCACGCAUCUCAUCCGAGCAGAACUGAGCCCGGCUGGGCUUUCUGCCCCGCUUUGACUCGGUGAACGACAGCAUCCUUCUUGGGAGGCAUGUGAUGCUGGACUAAGCGUGCUGCCUGCAGAGAGAGCUCAUGGACUGAUCCUAAAGAAGUAAGGGAAAAUAUGGUCUUCCCUAAUGACAUCAUCACCCAAGAAGAAAGUGAACGCUAAGACCAGAACCUUCCUCAGAAGAGAUGCUUGAAUAAUGUUGAGGAAAGCGGUUCUACAGGAAGAGGGAGCUGUAGCAUGUAGUUUGGAAGAAAUGGACGAUGACUAAAGAGAAUUUGGAGACAUUCAGGAAGCAGCUCACACAGACUUUGUGAAGAGCCUGCUAAAAUCAUUUUAUCUGUCAAGAACACAGGGA